CUAACAGUCCCAAAUUAUAACAGUCCGUAAUUGAUACCAGUGCUAAGUACUACUUGCAGAUCACUCACACAAGUUCUAAAAUAAGUAAUAAAAUUAAAACGAAACCAAUUAUCAUCUACAUCUAAAGUUCAGUUACAAAGUAGGGAAAUAAUAAAGAGAACAAGGAAAUCAGCUUCGAAUGCAACCUUCAUUUCAAUGGACUUCCACUCCUAUUACAUGUUCAACAAUCAUUUCUCAACCAUAGUUAGGAAAGUACCUAGAAAAUGUAAAGAUAAAUAGGGGUUAGAAAUCAACCAAUGCAGCAGGAAUCAGUAGGCGAACAGCCAAGAUGAACCCAUGUUCAACAAUUUAGAACAAGGAACUCAGCUCAAAACCCAAAACUGUAAUAUUCAACCAGUUUGAACCAAAAAAACUUUAAGAAAAACCCAAUAUCAAUUCGUACUUAAUCUCAAAUGAACCAGAAAUAUUUUAACACUUAAAAAUCUCAGCAAUCAGUAAGGGUAUCAAUGAAACAGUAAAAAUUUGAUUGGUUGUGUAUAUGCUUAAUUAUGGCGAUCCAGCCUUUUCUCUUGCGUUAAAAGGUAAGAAUAGGUCCCUUUUAAACCAAGGCAAGUAGGGCAGCCUUUAUGCUAUUUUUUUGCAGUUUGGUCCUUUUAUUAUAACUUGUGGACCAAGUUUUACUACCCAAAAAUCUAAAAACCCCAUUUGAACCCUCACACUAGAAAAUUCUGGAUACUUCUAUUCCAUUACUAAAACACUUACACUACCCAAGUUACCCUCAAUAGCCCUGUUAUUUACCCUUGAACCUUACAAGACUUCUAGAAAUCAGUUAUACCAUAGAUUCCUUAGACUAAAUUCCCUGAAUUAAAAUCAGCUGGGUCAAUUUGACCCAAAACCCAAAACCCCUGGGCGUGCAUACUCUGGCCUAAACUUACAAACUUCAAACCAAUAAUCAACGAGCCAUGAGGCUCAAGUGAAUAAGUUUUGUUUAGUCCAAACAAAAGAAAGAAAAGAAUAAACAACAGAGAAGGAAAAGAACUGAGUUAAGGAACUUAAAUGAUUUAAACAAAACAAACAACAAGGAGAACGAUUGAAAUAUUAUGCACAAUUCACAAAAGUACGAAGCAGCAUGGGAUCAAUUCAGACUUAUUGCAUGCCUAAAGCAUCUAAAUUAUAUGGUAAGAAAAGAAAUAGAAGAUUUAAGAGAAGUUCUAAGCUAACCACAGGGAUUAUAAUGGAGCAAAAAUCAUAAGUAAAAAUAGAUACAAAAAGAAAAAUAAAAUACCUCUAAUUCUGAAUCCGACUAACGAACUUCAUGGCUUCAUUUGGGGUACAAUCACCCUUAGCAAUGUGUUUUCUAACAGAAAACACAAGACUAAGGGUUAUUAAGAACCCCAAAACAAAAGAUACCCAAAAUCUGGAAACUAGGGUUCCAAACCAAAUUUCGAUUUGAAAUUCAAACUAAACGGGAACGAUUCGAGGAUGAAGGGUCGUGGAUUCAAGGUGAGGGAUGUGAGGAGAGUUCCUGGUACUAGUUUGGUGAAUUUUGGGCAAAGUUGUAUUUUGGCCGGCCGAUUCAAAUUGAAAUUCGAAGAGCUGCAGUACGAUUCGAGCUUGAACUAUUGUAGGAAUGAGAAGGGGAGACCAAGGGGGUGCAUGGGUGUGAAACUGAGGUUAUUUGGAGGUGGCGCUGCCGUGGGCGGUGGAGGCGGCGUCCACAAAAUUAAAGAUUUGACACGCUGUGGUAUGAUUCGAAGGAUGCAAAUUACAGAUUUGGAAUGAGGAAUGUGAGGGGUUUUCGUGGUGUAAAUUUGGAGUCGUUUGGUGGCCGACCGCCGCCCUGAGACGAUUUCUAGCGGCGUUUUUAGGGCGGGAUACGGUGGUGUAGGGUGGCUCAAAGGUGGCGUUACGCUACUGUUUGGACUGUACGAGGAUGAAACGUUUUGUCUCUAAGGCUAUUACACAGCCUUUGGACAUUUUUAUGUAAAAUUCAAGGUGAGCCGUUGGAUGAUGGGCGAUGGACGAUUAGGAUCGAAGGCCACCAAACAAUGUUGUUUGGUGUCCCUGGGGCUGGACCGGCUUGACAAGGUUUGGGCUGUGGUUUGGACGGGUUUAGUGGAGAAUUUGUUUGGGCCUUGUGUAAUUGAAACCAGACAGACCCAAUUCCCUCUUCUCUUCAUUUUAUUUCCUUUCCUUUUCUUUUUCAUCUUUCUUUUUAUUUUGAACUAAAAAUACACCUUAAUUAAUUUCUAACACUCAAUUAACCCUUAAGAAAACUAAUUAAACACAUAUGAAACUACUUAAUUACCAAAUAAUUGUGAAAUGCAAAGUUAGGCCCUAAAUUCCUAAUGCAAAAUAUAUUGGUAUUUUCUAUGAAUUAAAAUGCGAGCAGUUGAUAGAAGAUGCCACAAAAAAUCAAAAUUGCAAAUAGACAAGCGAAAUUGUUUUGUUUUGAUUUUAUGAGAGUAAUUCAUAUAGGGAAAAAAUCACAUGCUCACAUACACAAUAUCCCAUAACUAUCCCAAAACUCUGUGUGAUAAGUGCGUGAGCCAUUUCUAGGAAGUAAUACAAUACAACCGUCCAAAAUACAAAUUGGACAGAAAACAAAUCCAAUAAUCCGGAAGAGACUCCGCUGGCUGCAAGUGAUCUCGGGAAGUGCAGCUCACCUAAGUCUCCGUAUCAACUAUGAUGCUAUGCCCACUAGGCCACUAGGGUGCAUGUGCCUAUGCAACAAAAAUGCAUAUAAGUGUAGUAUGAGUACGAAAAUAACGUGUACCCAAUGAUUAUCCCGUCCAAUAUCGAAGAAGUAAAAACGAGAGGUCGACUUCGAUACUUACUAGUGGUCCAAUAAUGUUAUCUCAAUAACAUAGUAAAUUGGGAAUUUUUAUAAAUAUGAUUGUAAUUCAAUGAGAUGAAGCAAGUAAGCAAUUAUUUCUUUUAUAGGAGAUUUUCAAAUUCCUUUUCAUCAUUUAUACAAAUACUCUCAAGUCGGGAAGAGGCAAUAACAACUUCAAUAAGUUUCAAGGCAAGCAAUACAAGCAAGCGCAAAUCAUUUUGAGGACGUACGAUCCGAUGCAACAUAAAUGUAAAACGUGCACUGCCGAAGGUCGAGCGGCACAAACCGUAGAUGCAUCUAUUACCCCGCUCAUGAAUCAUACAUGCGACACGAUCGUUAUAAUUCCUAACCCGAUCAAAAAGUUAAAUGGUAUAUUUACCCAUGAACUCACAAACGCAAAUAUACCAUUCCCUCUUAAUUUCAUACCCAAAAUAGUGGUCAAAUUUCAAGAAAAUCUAUUUUCUAGGUUGUCCCUCAAAUCCCAAUUUUUUACCAAUUUCAUGCUCAAAUUCGUAUAUAAUCAAUGUAUUUAACUUAAGAUAGGUGGGAUAGCUUACCUUGUCAGUGAUGAUGAAAACCUCCUCUUGAAACCCUCCAAAAAUUGCCCAAGCUAAGCGCAAAAUGUAAGAAAAUGGCCAAAUCUCGAUUUUUGAAUCACGCACUGCCUCCAACCCUUUCCGCACAUGCGGUCACUUGACCACUUCUGCAAUUCCGUAGGUGCAAUUCCAGUGCUACAUCUGCGGUCCUCCUCCACCUGCCUCAGCAUGAUUCUGUGUCGCACCGACCGCCUUUGCGAUCACGCAGGUGCAGGAAAUUCCUUCGCACAUGCGGCCUCUGACUCCCUCACUUCUAAUCGCUUCUGUGGUUCCCUUCCUCGCUUCUUCGGUGAACC
Molecule: long non-coding RNA, 3728 nt
Filed under: Nicotiana benthamiana
Lineage: Eukaryota; Viridiplantae; Streptophyta; Magnoliopsida; Solanales; Solanaceae
Description: long non-coding RNA (NBEN_LNC005012)
Source: RNAcentral